UACGGAGGAUGCAAGCGUUAUCCGGAUUUAUUGGGUUUAAAGGGUGCGUAGGCGGGAAAAUAAGUCAGUGGUGAAAUCCUACAGCUUAACUGUAGAAUUGCCGUUGAUACUGUUUUUCUUGAGUAUGGUCAAGGAAGGCGGAAUGUGUAAUGUAGCGGUGAAAUGCUUAGAUAUUACACAGAACACCAAUUGCGAAGGCAGCUUUCUGGCCCAUUACUGACGCUGAGGCACGAAAGCGUGGGGAUCGAACAGGAUUAGAUACCCGUGUA
This 269-nucleotide ribosomal RNA is filed under the name uncultured prokaryote. RNAcentral's name for it is "partial 16S ribosomal RNA". It matches the Rfam family "Bacterial small subunit ribosomal RNA", at positions 524 to 792 of the family's 1533-position model. The record is from RNAcentral.